Anarrhichthys ocellatus (wolf-eel) is the source of this 130-nucleotide small nucleolar RNA. NCBI's taxonomy places the organism in Eukaryota, Metazoa, Chordata, Actinopteri, Perciformes, Anarhichadidae. The record is from RefSeq and is a predicted model, not a curated record.
CCGCACUGCCAAGUGACUGGACUUCCUCUUCUGUGGUCUUCCAAUCUCAUUCCGGUGCCAGAGUGACCUCCGUUUGCAGAAGGGUUGAGCUAGACUCAUGACUCCCCCCUUUCGAAGACAGAGAACACAU